UACAGAGGGUGCAAGCGUUGUUCGGAAUCAUUGGGCGUAAAGGGCGUGUAGGCGGUUUGUUAAGUCAUGUGUGAAAUCCUGGAGCUCAACUCCAGAACUGCCUUUGAUACUGAAGAUCUUGAGUUCGGGAGAGGUGAGUGGAACUGCGAGUGUAGAGGUGAAAUUCGUAGAUAUUCGCAAGAACACCAGUGGCGAAGGCGGCUCACUGGCCCGAUACUGACGCUGAGGCACGAAAGCGUGGGGAGCAAACAGG
RNAcentral lists this ribosomal RNA (253 nucleotides) under uncultured bacterium. Its description in RNAcentral is "partial 16S ribosomal RNA". It matches the Rfam family "Bacterial small subunit ribosomal RNA", at positions 524 to 776 of the family's 1533-position model. The record is from RNAcentral.